AGCGAACGCUGGCGGCAGGCCUAACACAUGCAAGUCGAACGAACCUUUCGGGGUUAGUGGCGGACGGGUGAGUAACACGUGGGAACGUGCCUUUAGGUUCGGAAUAACUCAGGGAAACUUGUGCUAAUACCGAAUGUGCCCUUCGGGGGAAAGAUUAAUCGCCUUUAGAGCGGCCCGCGUCUGAUUAGCUAGUUGGUUGAGGUAAUGGCUCACCAAGGCGACGAUCAGUAGCUGGUCUGAGAGGAUGAUCAGCCACAUUGGGACUGAGACACGGCCCAAACUCCUACGGGAGGCAGCAGUGGGGAAUCUUGCGCAAUGGGCGAAAGCCUGACGCAGCCAUGCCGCGUGAAUGAUGGAGGUCUUAGGAUUGUAAAAUUCUUUCACCGGGGACGAUAAUGACGGUACCCGGAGAAGAAGCCCCGGCUAACUUCGUG
This 434-nucleotide ribosomal RNA is filed under the name uncultured bacterium. Its description in RNAcentral is "partial 16S ribosomal RNA". It matches the Rfam family "Bacterial small subunit ribosomal RNA", at positions 29 to 507 of the family's 1533-position model. The record is from RNAcentral.